Molecule: long non-coding RNA, 1716 nt
Organism: Macaca fascicularis (crab-eating macaque)
Lineage: Eukaryota; Metazoa; Chordata; Mammalia; Primates; Cercopithecidae
Source: Ensembl
CUGACCAACCUCACCUCACUCUGACCACAGCUUACUCCAUAUCCAAUCAGGUGUAUGUGAUUGGAUGUCAUGUUGUGUGCAUGUGUGUACAUAUUCGUGUGUGCAUAUGUGUAUGAAUGUGUGCAUGUGUGUACAUAUUGUGUGUGCAUGUGUGCAUGCAUGUCACAUGUGCAUGUGUGUACAUAUUGUGUGUAUGCAUGUCAUGUGUGCAUGUGUACAUACUGUGUCUUCGCAUUUGUGUGUAUGCAUGUCAUGUGUGCAUGUGUGUACAUAUUGUGUGUGCAUUUGUGUAUGCAUGUCAUGUGUGCAUGUGUGUACAUAUUGUGAUAUUGUGUUUGUGCAUGUGUAUAUGCAUGUCAUGUAUGCAUGUAUGUACAUAUUGUGUGUGCAUGUCAUGUAUUCAUGCAUGUACAUAUUGUGUGCAUGUGUGUGCAUGUCAUGUGUACAUGUGUACAUAUUGUGUGCAUGUGUGUGCGUGUGUGCAUGUCAUGGUGUGCAUGAGUGUACAUGCUGUGUGCGUUUUUGUGCAUGUGUACAUGCAUGCCAUGUGUGCAUGUACAUAGUGUGUGCAUGUCAUGUGUUCAUGUAUGUGCAUCAUGUGUGUGCGUGUCAUGUUGUGUACAUGUGUGUACAUACUGUGUGCAUAUGUGUGUGUGCAUGUCAUGGUGUGCAUGUGUGUACAUAUUGUGUGCGUGUGUGUGCAGGUGCAUAUGUGUCCUUGCAUUUGUUUAAGUGUUCUCUUGUUCACUCACUCAACAGUGGACUUUGCGUUGACACUUCUUGGUGCUUAAAGCCACAUGGACGGUUUCUUAACAGAAACUCAAAGAAUCAGUUGUGAGCCAUCCUGGGAGCAGCUCUUCCUAGCUAACCCACAUGGUCUCAAAUACUAGUUGGUUUUAAUCAUAUAUAAAUGCAAGCUCCACACAGCUGAGAUUCUGACUCACUUGUUUGGACACAAGGCCAAAAAAACUGGAAUGUUAACAAGCACUUGCCCCUCGGUGGUCCUGGGCCACCUCAGCAGAAGCUGAGCUCACAUGUUCUCAGGGAUUCGUUCAUGUCACAAGUCCUUUUCCACAACUCUUGCCACAGGGAAAGCCACAUCUGGCCCCUGCGUUCAAGCAGCCAGAGCCCAGUGCAGAGUGAGGCAGAAAAGGAACAAGGCCCUGUGAUGGAGCAAAACCUGGGAGCAGACGAGACCCUGCCUCAGCUGCCAUGACGCAGGGUGAUGCUCCAGGUCACCCAGGACAGAUGUCUGUGCAAAGACGGCCUCGAAGGUAAGUGAGUCUGGAGGUUGCCAAACAGCCUCCACAGCCCGGUGGGUGGAGUAGAGAGGACACGGCUCAGAGCUUUCAACUGGCGGAUCAGCCUCCACAGCCCGGCGGGUGGAGUAGAGAGGACAUGGCUCAGAGGUUUCAACUGGCUGAUCAUGGUGACUCACGCCUGUAAUCCCAACACUUUGGAAGGCCGAGGCAGGUAGAUCACCUGAGGUCAGGAGUUCAAGAUCAGCCUGGCCAACGUGGUGAAACCCCAUCUCUACUAAAAAUACAAAAAAUUAGCUGGGUGGGGUGGCAGGCACCUGUAAUCCCAGCCACUCGGGAGGUUGAGGCAGGAGAAUCACUUAAACCUGGGAGGCAGAGGUUGCAGUGAGCCAAGAUCGUGCCACUGCACUCCAAACUGGGCAACAGAGUGAGAUUCCACCUCAAAAAAAAAAAAAAA